GGAUAACCCCGGGAAACCGGGGCUAAUACCGAAUAUGACCUCUGACCGCAUGGUUGGUGGUGGAAAGUUUUUCGGCUUGGGAUGGGCUCGCGGCCUAUCAGCUUGUUGGUGGGGUGAUGGCCUACCAAGGCGACGACGGGUAGCCGGCCUGAGAGGGCGACCGGCCACACUGGGACUGAGACACGGCCCAGACUCCUACGGGAGGCAGCAGUGGGGAAUAUUGCACAAUGGGCGGAAGCCUGAUGCAGCGACGCCGCGUGAGGGAUGACGGCCUUCGGGUUGUAAACCUCUUUCAGCAGGGACGAAGCGUAAGUGACGGUACCUGCAGAAGAAGCGCCGGCCAACUACGUGCCAGCAGCCGCGGUAAGACGUAGGGCGCGAGCGUUGUCCGGAUUUAUUGGGCGUAAAGAGCUCGUAGGCGGCUUGUCGCGUCGACCGUGAAAACUUGGGGCUCAACCCCAAGCCUGCGGUCGAUACGGGCAGGCUAGAGUUCGGUAGGGGAGACUGGAAUUCCUGGUGUAGCGGUGAAAUGCGCAGAUAUCAGGAGGAACACCGGUGGCGAAGGCGGGUCUCUGGGCCGAUACUGACGCUGAGGAGCGAAAGCGUGGGGAGCGAACAGGAUUAGAUACCCUGGUAGUCCACGCUGUAAACGUUGGGCGCUAGGUGUGGGGGGCCUCUCCGGUUCCCUGUGCCGCAGCUAACGCAUUAAGCGCCCCGCCUGGGGAGUACGGCCGCAAGGCUAAAACUCAAA
Molecule: ribosomal RNA, 751 nt
Filed under: Micromonospora aurantiaca (nom. illeg.)
Lineage: Bacteria; Bacillati; Actinomycetota; Actinomycetes; Micromonosporales; Micromonosporaceae
Description: bacterial SSU rRNA
Rfam family: Bacterial small subunit ribosomal RNA
Source: RNAcentral